RNAcentral lists this ribosomal RNA (3122 nucleotides) under bacterium. RNAcentral describes it as "23S ribosomal RNA". It matches the Rfam family "Bacterial large subunit ribosomal RNA". The record is from RNAcentral.
UGAGGGUGCUUUAAGAGCGUAUGGUGGAUGCCUUGACACAAAAUAGCGAUGAAGGACGUAGCGUAGCUGCGAUAAGCUUCGGGGAGGUGUGUAGCAACCUUUGAUCCGGAGAUUUCCGAAUGGGGAAACCCCUUUGCGUAGACCGCAUUGACCUCGUCAUUUAUUGACGCGGAGCAGACCCACUGAAGCGAAACUUCCCAGUAAGUGGUGGAAAAUAGAAAAAUAUUUAUUACCUUAGUAGCGGCGAGCGAAACGGUAACAGCCCAAACUCAAAUUUAUUUGAGGGUAGUAAGAUAAAGACAUUUUAGAGAUAUGAAACAGGGUUUCUGUCCCGCAUUGCGGGACAGAUAUAGUGCCUUGUUUCGUGUUUCUAAGGGGUCUCGGAGUAAUCCGAGGAGGAGUUAAAAAUUUAUUUGCUAGUCGAAACUUCUGGAAAGAAGUCCCAAAGACGGUGAUAGGCCGGUAGGCGAAAGCAAAUAAACUCUUGUUUUUACCCGAUGUAAAAGUCGGGAAUUCCGACAAUGCUAUCGAUCGCAAGAUUGAUGGUAUUGUCGGAAAAUCUUGAGUAACUCGAGGCCAACAAACCUUGAGUGAAUCCGCCGGUACUAUCCGGCAAGGCUAAAUAUAUUUUGUGAUCGAUAGUGAACUAGUACCGUGAGGGAAAGGUGAAAAGUAGGCCGGAAGGCCGUUGAAAUAGUACCUGAAACCAUAUGCUUACAAGGACUUGAAGGCCGAAGUUCACCGCAAGGUGAAGUGGCUAACAGGGUGCCUAUUGAAGAAUGAACCAACGAGUUUACGGAUAUCGCAAGUCUAAGUCCUAAGGGACGCAGGCGUAGCGAAAGCGAGUGUUAAUAGCGCGCAAACCGUUUUAUUUUAUAAAACCAGCGUUAUUCGUAAGACCCGAAGCCAAGGCGAGCUUGCCCUGAGCAGGUUGAACCCCGAGUAAAAUCGGGGGGAGGACCGAACUGGUGGGUUGUGCAAAACCCUCGGAUGACUUGGGGUAAGAAGUGAAAAGCUAAUCGAGCUUGGUAAUUGCUGGUUCUCUCCGAAAUAUAUUUUGGUAUAGCGGGCAGCUAAAACGGUAUAGGGGUAGAGCUACUGGUUCGGGCCUACAGGUCGAAAGAUCGAGUCUCGAGUCAAACUCCGAAUACUAUACUGAAAAGUUGCCUAGUCAGACUGUGGGGGCAAAGCUCCAUGGUCGCGAGGGAAAAAGCCCAGAUCGCCGUCUAAGGUCCCUAAAUCUUCGCUAAGUGUUAAAGGUAGUCAUCAACCACAGACAGAUAGGAGGUUGGCUUAGAGGUAGCCAUCCUUUAAAGAGUGUGUAACAACUCACUAUUCGACGGUUGGUGGCGCCGAAAAUGUACCGGGGCUAAGCGAGGUACCGAAGCCGCGAAUUUGUUCGGAUUAGUCCGGACAAGUGGUAGGAGAGCAUUCGCAACUGCUGUGAAGGAGGAUCCGUGAGGACCUCUGGAGUGUUGCGAAGAGAGAAUGUUGGUAUGAGUAACCACAAAUCAAAUGAGAAAUUUGAUCCCCGAAAAUCCAAGGUUUCCGUGGCAAUGGCAAUCAUCCACGGGUUAGGCGAUCCUAAGGCAAUGGCGAGAGCCGCAGCUGAUGGGAAGCCGGUUAAUAUUCCGGCCCGCCUGGUGCAUUCGAUGGAGUGACGGAGAAUAUAAGGUUGAGCGCCUAAGUGGUUUGGCGUCGACGGUGUUAAGACUCGAUAUCCAGGGAAAUCCGGGUAUCUGCCUUUAAUGGCGAGUUUCGCGCAUUGGCUUAAGGUUAGGUUUUUACCUGACUAAUUCAACUGAAGAGACUUCCAAGAAAAACUUCUAAGGUUCGUGCAUUAGGCCUCGUACCGUAAACCGACACAGGUGGGUGAGUCGAGAAGACUCAGGGGAACGAGUGAUUCUUCGUUAAGGAACUCGGCAAAAAAGCGGCCGUAAGUUCGCAAUAAGGCCUGCCCUUCGCAAGAGGGGCCGCAGCUAAAGUAUGUCUGGCGACUGUUUACCAAAAACACAGCUCCCUGCUAACUCGCAAGAGGAUGUAUAGGGGGUGACGCCUGACCGAUGCGAGAAGGUUAACGGUGGGGGUAUGUAGUUUACUCUGUAUACUCACUGCCCGAAGCCCUCGUCAAUGUCAGCGAUAACUAUAAUCGUUCUAAGGUAGCGCAAUUCCUUUUCGGGUAAGUUCCGAAGCGCACGAAUGGCGUAACGACUGGACAACUGUCUCAACGAAGAGCUCGGUGAAAAUGCGAUUCCCGUGAAGACGCGGGAUACCUGCAGCAAGACGAAAAGACCCCGGAAGCUUUACUGUAGUUUGAUAUUGGCUUUAAGAUUUUGAUGCGUAGCGUAGUGGUGAGGGGUUGAAGUGGCGCUUUUGGGUGCCAUGGACCCGCCAAUGAAACAGCCAUCUUUAAAAUCUUAAAAUCUAACCUCGACGGCAAAAACGUCGCGGGACAGUGUCUGAUGGGCAGUUUUAAUGGGGCGUUAUCCUCCUAAAAAGUAACGGAGGAGUUUAUUAAGGUUGGCUUAGCCCGGAUGGAAAUCGGGCCGGACGUGUAAACGCACAAGCCAGCUUAACGGCAAGACUUACAAGUCGCGCCGGUGCGAAAGCAGAAGUUAGUGACCCGACCACUCUUUAGAGAAAGGUGGGAGACAACGGCUAAAAGUUACUCCGGGGAUAACAGGCUAGUGAGAUCCGAGAGUUCCUAUCGACGAUCUCGCUCGGCACCUCGAUGUCGGCUCGCCCUAGCGCGGAGGCGGAGAAGUUUCCAAGCGUAUGGCUGUUCGCCAUUUAAAAGGGCACGUGAGCUGGGUUCAAACCGUCGUGAGACAGGUUGGUCUCUAUCUGUUGCAGGCGUAAACACUUGAGGGUAGUCGUCCCUAGUACGAGAGGACCGGGAUGAACAUACCUCUGGUCUACCAGCUUUGGUACCAACUGAAGCGCUGGGUAGCUAUGUAUGGAAAGGAUAAGCGCUGAAAGCAUCUAAGCACGAAGCCUCACCCAAGAUUAAGUGUUGUUCGUAAGAACGCGGUCCGUAGAAGACUACUACGUUGAUAGGCUCUAAGUGUAAGGCCCGCAAGGGUUUCAGCUGAGGAGUACUAAUAAACCGUUGCACCCUCAAA